Molecule: ribosomal RNA, 1407 nt
Filed under: Exiguobacterium sp. M1 5-3
Lineage: Bacteria; Bacillati; Bacillota; Bacilli; Caryophanales
Description: 16S ribosomal RNA
Rfam family: Bacterial small subunit ribosomal RNA
Source: RNAcentral
CACGUAAAGAACCGGCCCUUAGGUCGGGAAUAACCACAAGAAAUCGGGGUUAUUACCGAAGGUGUCAUCGAACCGCAGGGUCGGUUGAUGAAAGGCGCUCCGGCGUCCCCCAGGGUGGGUUUUGCGGGGCAUUACUUAUUUGGGGGGGUAUGGCCGCCACCAGGGCGACAAUGCUUAGCCAACUGAGAAAGGUGGAUCGGCCACACGGGAACGGAAACACGGCCAAAACUCUUACGGAAGGCACCAUUAGGAAUUCUUCCACAAUGGAACAAAAGUCUGAGGAACCACCGCCCCGGGACGAAUGAAGGUUUUCGAAUCGUAAAGUUCUGUUGUAAGGGAAAAACCAGUGGCCGCAGGCAAUGGCCGGCACCUUGACGGUACCUGGCGAGAAAGCCACGGCUAACUACGUGGCCAGCAGCCGCGGUAAUACGUAGGUGGCAAGCGGUUGUCCGGAAAUUAUUGGGCGGUAAGGCGCGCGGCAGGGCGGCCUCUCUAAGUUCUGAUGUGAAAGCCCCCGGCUCACCCGGGAAGGGCCAUUGAAAACUGGGAAGGCUUGAGAUAAUAGGAGAGAAGAAGUGGAAUUCCACGUGUAGCGGUGAAAUUGCGUAGAGAUGUGAAGGAACCACCAGUGGCCGAAGGCGACUCUUUGGCCUAUAACUGACGCUGAGGCGCGAAAGCGUGGGGAGCAAACAGGAUUAGAUACCCCUGGUUAGUCCACGCCGGUAAAACGAUGGAGUUGCUAGGUGUUGGAGGGGUUUCCGCCCUUUCAGUUGCUGAAGCUAACGGCAUUAAGCAACUCCCGCCUGGGGAGUACGGUCCGCAAGGCUGAAACUUCAAAGGAAUUGACGGGGGAACCCGCACAAGCGGGUGGAAGCAUGGUGGUUUAAUUCGAAGCAACGCGAAGAACCUUACCAACUCUUGACAUCCCCCUGACCGGUACAGAGAUGUAUCUUCCCCUUCGGGGGCAGGGGUGACCAGGUGGGUGCAUGGUUGUCGUCAGCUUCGUGUCGUGAGAUGUUGGGUUAAGUCCCGCAACGGAGCGCAACCCUUUGUCCUUAGUUGCCAGCAUUCAGUUGGGCACUCUAAGGAGACUGCCGGUGACAAACCGGAGGAAGGUGGGGAUGACGUCAAAUCAUGCAUGCCCCUUAUGAGUUGGGCUACACACCGUGCUACAAUGGACGGUACAAAGGGCAGCGAAGCCGCGAGGGUGGAGCCAAUCCCAGAAAGCCGUUCUCAGUUCGGAUUGCAGGCUGCAACUCGCCUGCAUGAAGUCGGAAUCGCUAGUAAUCGCAGGUCAGCAUACUGCGGUGAAUACGUUCCCGGGUCUUGUACACACCGCCCGUCACACCACGAGAGUUUGCAACACCCGAAGUCGGUGAGGUAACCGUAAGGAGCCAGCCGCCGAAG